ACACACACACACACACACACAUACACAUACAGAGACACACGCGCGCGCACGGAGAGAGCGCAGGAGUCUCGCGCAGAGUUUCACCAAACAGAAAGUGAUAGAGUCGGUAAACGUGCACUUCACGAGCCAGAGCCGGAGUCCCAGCACUCGGACGGGCACUGGCACGGAUACAUCUCGUAUCGGAGUUGUGAGCAAUGCGCUGGCAGCAUGGCCAGAUGGUUCAAGGAGCACCUGGGUUUCAAAACCACCAAAGCCCCGCAACCUCCGAAACCGGACUACCGACACUUCCACACCGCCGUCUCCAGCCCCCCGGUGUUCAACCUCCAGCAGCAGACGGGCACCGGGUUACUGUCCGCGCAGCCCGACAUCCUCACCGCCUACAAACUCCAGAAGGAGCUGGACUUCGAGGAUCCGUACACGCCGGGCGGAAACGUGCCCUUCUCCUCCGGACUGAGUUCCGCGGGCUCGCCGGACAUCAAGUACGUGUCUCCGAAGCACCGGCUCAUAAAGGUGGAGACGGUUGAGCGCAGCAGCUCGAGCUCGGGCAGCAGCAGCGGGGCGACCGCGGUCAAGACCCCCAGCUCCCCGCCCGCAGAGCCCGAGAACGGCAAGCAGGAGAAGCUCAUCAUCUUAGAGGACUAUGCCGAUCCCUUUGACGCAGCGGACCAGGCGGGCAGCACGCAGACGGUCACAGAAAAGCCAACGGAGAAUGACGGCUACAUGGAGCCCUACGAAGCUCAGAAGAUGAUGGCUGAGAUCCGAGGCGGUCGCACUCCUAAAGACGGUCCGGUCCAGCAGCAUCCUCUCUACGACACCCCGUACGAGCCGGAGGAGAACGGAGCAGAUCCAGACGGAUGUGUGUGUUCCCGUGAGAGCAGAUUACCGCAGGACGACGAGAGGCCGCCGGAGGAGUACGACCAGCCCUGGGAGUGGAAGAAAGACCGCAUAUCCAAAGCCUUCGCAGUGGAGAUUAAGGUCAUUAAGGAUCUGCCGUGGCCUCCUCCGGUCGGGCAGCUCAACACCGGUCCUCCUCUGAUGGAGGCGGUGGAGGCUCCGUCCUCUCCGGGACUCAACACCACAGCCUCGGCCUGCGACCAGCUCCAGCACGUGCAGUUUGACGGUGUGGAGAAGUCCCACAUGUCUCCCACUAAGGACCUGAAGUGUCGUCCGCUGCAGAGGCACUCGAGCGGCUGUCUGGUCAGCACUAAGAUGAGCUCUGUGGAGCCGAGCGUGGGCGAGCGCAUCGACCCGUCCAUGCCUCUGGAGAGCCAGUUCUGGUAUCACGGAGCCAUCAGCCGCACGGACGCUGAGGCUCUUCUGCGCUUGUGUAAAGAGGCCAGUUACCUGGUGAGGAACAGUGAGACCAGUAAGAACGACUUCUCGCUCUCGCUCAAGAGCAGUCAAGGUUUCAUGCACAUGAAGCUCUCCAGGACCAAAGACAAUAAGUACGUACUGGGUCAGAACAGCUGCCUGUUCGACAGCGUUCCUGAGAUCAUCCACUUCUACUCCAGCCGCAAACUACCAAUCAAAGGGGCCGAGCACAUGUCCUUGCUGUACCCCGUGGCCAUCCGGACACUAUAGAGGCAGAAGCGCUGCAGAAACAGGACGUUCGUUCAGCGUUUACAAGACAACGACAAACUAAAGUGCUACUGAGAUCCCGAAGACAAUAAGGGAGACUCCUGGAAGCCUCAUUCAUCUCGUCUCGAGGGACAGGGUUUCACUGUCCUUCAAAUGCCUUCUUCAUGAUUCCAGACCCGUUUUCUUCCCAUAAGUGGAUCUUUAGUCUUAGACCUGCACCCACACUUUAUCUCCACUGUUACACACUGUACAGAAACCCGAAACGUCACUCGGACUUUACUAUUCGGAUGUUUAUAGUUGCCAUUUCUGGACAUGUGAACCAUUAGACGUUCUUGAACAUUACAUCGCCGCAGUAAAUGAACAAAGACACUGAAUCGUACUGUAGCGAAACCUCAUCGUCUGGACUUUCUGUGAUCGUCAAUCAAUCAAAUGGGUGAAAUAUUAGCUAAAAAUUAAACAUGAACAUUUUCAGAACAUACAGAAAAUAAUCCCCAGAAGACUGAAAUCUAGCGUUCGGCAUUUUCCAGUUAGACACACCGAUGUGAAGAGAGAUCAUUACGCAGACAGAUUCAUUAAGUCCCUUAAAAUAGCAGUAAUAGCGCAGAGCGAGAGGAGAGGAGAUGGAUGGUGCCUUUUAAGUGCACUUGGACAGGCGGCUAUGCAGAACAGCGGGAAAAAGGACCUUUUAAUUUAACGUUCAGAGAGAGUCACUUCACCAGAGUUUAGGAUGAUCUUGACCAAGGAGAAUGAAAUAUUCCUGUAUUGUCUACCUCAGAAAAUCAAUUUCGUUCAUCCAUCCGCCGGUCGAUAAGGUACAGUGACGUUGCAGAUAUCGAUCGUCUCAAAAUCCCACCAAAUUUUGCCUUUUGGUUUGAGAAUAGCUUCUUCUUCACCUGAACGCAAUCAGACCCUGAUUUCUGUGCUGUCGUGACUCUGUUUGGUUAAUGCCUUAUACUGUAAAUGCAUGGAUUAAAAAAGAAAACAAAUGGAGAACACUGUUGUUCAAUGAAUGUUUAGUGGCUGUAAUUUAUUAUGGAGAAAAAAAAUUAUGCUAGUGCUGAUGUUUUAGUCCAGCUUAGACAAUGUUCUUGGCCAGUGUGUGUGUGUGUGUGUGUGUGUGAUAUAUGACCUUCAUUAGGUGUGCCAUAUAUCUGAUGUGUCUUCAUGAUUGUCCCCACCUGAAUACUCUGAUUGGAUGCUGCUUGCCAUGGAAACCAUUUAGAGCAGUUCAGCCAAUCAGAGAGCAGAUUUGUCCUGACCCUUCCUCUGACCUCUGGUUUUCCUCAUUUGCCAUCAUCCGGUUUCUUUUGUGUCGUUGUUUCUCUCUCUCUCUCUCUCUCUCUCUCUCUCUCUCUCAGCGUCUGUGCUACAGAUAUAACGCCUGUGUGAUUGGAUUAUUGUCAAUCGUUGUGUUUCCUUCUUGUUUUUAGUUCAUCGUUUCCCUCUCUGAUACAAUGUUUUUAUUCGUUCAACCUUUAAAGGGACACUUCCACCCCAAAAAUGAAAACUGUCAUCAUUUAUUGACCUUCAUGUCAUUAUUUUGCUGAAUUUCUUCUCCGUGCAGUGAGAGUUAAUUCAACCUCAAAAGUAUCAAAAAUCACCCUAAGGAAUCAAAAAGUAUCAAAAUACUAAUUUUGAAUAUGCAAAAAGAAAUACAAUAAAAAUUGUGAAAUAUUA
Carassius carassius (crucian carp) is the source of this 3255-nucleotide RNA transcript. It is a transcript of the gene named SH2 domain-containing adapter protein D-like, with no coding region annotated. NCBI's taxonomy places the organism in Eukaryota, Metazoa, Chordata, Actinopteri, Cypriniformes, Cyprinidae. The record is from RefSeq and is a predicted model, not a curated record. The transcript has 8 exons.